UACGUAGGGACCGAGCGUUGUCCGGAAUCAUUGGGCGUAAAGAGCGUGUAGGCGGCCAUUUAAGUCCUGCGUGAAAUCCUGCGGCUCAACCGCAGGCGGUCGUGGGAAACUGGAUGGCUAGAGUGCGGGAGAGGAGAGUGGAAUUCCUGGUGUAGCGGUGGAAUGCGCAGAUAUCAGGAGGAACACCGGUGGCGAAGGCGGGUCUCUGGGCAACAACUGACGCUGAGGAGCGAAAGCGUGGGGAGCGAACAGG
This 253-nucleotide ribosomal RNA is filed under the name uncultured bacterium. Its description in RNAcentral is "partial 16S ribosomal RNA". It matches the Rfam family "Bacterial small subunit ribosomal RNA", at positions 524 to 776 of the family's 1533-position model. The record is from RNAcentral.